AUUGAACGCUGGCGGCAGGCCUAACACAUGCAAGUCGAGCGGAUGAAGGGAGCUUGCUCCUGGAUUCAGCGGCGGACGGGUGAGUAAUGCCUAGGAAUCUGCCUGGUAGUGGGGGAUAACGUCCGGAAACGGGCGCUAAUACCGCAUACGUCCUGAUGGAGAAAGUGGGGGAUCUUCGGACCUCUCGCUAUCAGAUGAGCCUAGGUCGGAUUCGCUAGUUGGUGGGGUAAAGGCCUACCAAGGCGACGAUCCGUAACUGGUCUGAGAGGAUGAUCAGUCACACUGGCACUGAGACACAGUCCAGACUCCUGCGGGAGGCAGCAGUCGGGAAUAUUGCGCAAUGCGCGAAAGCCUGAUCCAGCCAUGCCGCGUGUGUGAAGAAGGUCUUCGGAUUGUAAAGCGCUUUAAGUUGGGGGGAAGGGCAGUAAGUUAAUCCCUUGCUGUAUUGACGUUACCGACAGAAUAAGCACCGGCUAACUUCGUG
RNAcentral lists this ribosomal RNA (484 nucleotides) under uncultured bacterium. RNAcentral's name for it is "partial 16S ribosomal RNA". It matches the Rfam family "Bacterial small subunit ribosomal RNA", at positions 30 to 507 of the family's 1533-position model. The record is from RNAcentral.